AUACGGAGGAUCCGAGCGUUAUCCGGAUUUAUUGGGUUUAAAGGGUGCGCAGGCGGCCAUUUAAGUCAGCGGUUAAAUCGUUGGGCUCAACCCCAUUCUGCCGUUGAUACUGGGUGGCUUGAUUGCGGUCGAGGUUGGCGGAAUUCGUUGUGUAGCGGUGUAAUGCAUAGAUAUGACGAAGAACACCGAUUGCGUAGGCAGCUGACCAGACCGCAAAUGACGCUCAUGCACGAAAGUGCGGGGAUCGAACAGGAUUAGAUACCCUGGUAGUCCGCACAGUAAACGAUGAAUACUUGUUUUCGGCGAUAUAAUGUCGGAGGCAAAGCGAAAGCGAUAAGUAUUCCACCUGGGGAGUACGCCGGCAACGGUGAAACUCAAAUGAAUUGGCGGGG
This 392-nucleotide ribosomal RNA is filed under the name uncultured bacterium. RNAcentral describes it as "partial 16S ribosomal RNA". It matches the Rfam family "Bacterial small subunit ribosomal RNA", at positions 523 to 918 of the family's 1533-position model. The record is from RNAcentral.